CCUACGGGUGUCAGCAGUGGGGAAUAUUGGGCAAUGGAGGAAACUCUGACCCAGCAACGCCGCGUGAAUGAUGAAGGUCUUCGGAUUGUAAAGCUCUUUUCUAAGGGAAGAAGACAGUGACGGUACCUUAGGAAUAAGACUCGGCUAACUACGUGCCAGCAGCCGCGGUAAUACGUAGGAGGCGAGCGUUAUCCGGAAUGACUGGGCGUAAAGGGUGCGUAGGUGGUUUGGGAAGUUAGUAGCGUAACUCCAAGGCUCAACCUUGGAAAUACUACUAAUACUGUUGGACUUGAGUGCAGGAGGGGCAAGCGGAAUGCCUGGUGUAGCGGUGGAAUGCGUAGAUAUUA
This 347-nucleotide ribosomal RNA is filed under the name uncultured bacterium. RNAcentral's name for it is "partial 16S ribosomal RNA". It matches the Rfam family "Bacterial small subunit ribosomal RNA", at positions 338 to 699 of the family's 1533-position model. The record is from RNAcentral.